This 82-nucleotide transfer RNA is filed under the name Alloscardovia omnicolens. RNAcentral's name for it is "tRNA-Tyr". It matches the Rfam family "tRNA". Rfam says of the family: Transfer RNA (tRNA) molecules are approximately 80 nucleotides in length. The record is from RNAcentral. RNAcentral also lists the same sequence under 4 other names. Lineage: Bacteria; Bacillati; Actinomycetota; Actinomycetes; Bifidobacteriales; Bifidobacteriaceae.
GGCGGAUUUCCCAAGCGGUCAAAGGGAGCGGACUGUAAAUCCGCCGGCUUCGCCUUCAGUGGUUCGAAUCCACUAUCCGCCA